CUGCUCACUUUGGCAGCACAUGAAUUAAAAUUGGAAUGAUACAGAGAAGAUUGGCAUGGCCCUGCUCAAGGAUGACACCCACACUUUCUCAAUCCUAUCACCCUUUA
Small nuclear RNA from Hyaena hyaena (striped hyena), 107 nucleotides. Lineage: Eukaryota; Metazoa; Chordata; Mammalia; Carnivora; Hyaenidae. The record is from RefSeq and is a predicted model, not a curated record.